Molecule: non-coding RNA, 80 nt
Filed under: bovine gut metagenome
Description: TPP riboswitch (THI element)
Rfam family: TPP riboswitch aptamer (THI element) (bases 3-73)
About the family: Vitamin B(1) in its active form thiamin pyrophosphate (TPP) is an essential coenzyme that is synthesised by coupling of pyrimidine and thiazole moieties in bacteria.
Source: RNAcentral
GUUUGGGGUGCUCCACACUUGGGGCUGAGAUCAUACCCACUGAAUCUGAACCGGGUAAUGCCGGCGUAGAGAACAAAAAA